This is a non-coding RNA of Cyanistes caeruleus (blue tit), 443 nucleotides long. Lineage: Eukaryota; Metazoa; Chordata; Aves; Passeriformes; Paridae. The record is from RefSeq and is a predicted model, not a curated record.
GCGCCGCCGGGGCCGAGCGGCCAUUGGCGCGGAGCUGGGACAGGGCGGGAGGAGCUCUUUGUCAAACGCUGACGUGCGUAAGAUGCGUUUGUUUAGCAAACAGAAACCCAGGCGUCUGGCAGGGCCCCAGCCAGCUGGGCGAGGCCUGUGGCGACAGGCGGCUGAGCGCGGGCUCGGGGACAGGAGGUACGUGCGACACGGAGUGCCCGGCUGUGCCCCGACGUUUUGCUACGACAGAAACCCCAGUUUUGUAUUAAUUUAACAACGUUACCCCUUCAGGGUGCGGGUCUGAUUGUCCGUUAGGAGACCAAAUUUGAAAACUAAUCCUUUUGCAUCAAGACUUGUGUCUGUCCAACUCCCUCUGUGUGUUUAGUAUAACGUGUCAGUUUAACUUCGGAACAAAUGCUACAUUGAAUUAAAGAUUGCUGAGAUUCCAAAGCCCA